GCAAACUUGGUCAUUUAGAGGAAGUAAAAGUCGUAACAAGGUUUCCGUAGGUGAACCUGCGGAAGGAUCAUUAUCGUGGGGCUCCGGCCCUUGCGAGAUAGAACCCUUGCCUUUUGAGUACCGUCCGUUUCCUCGGCAGGGCGACCUGCCAAUGGGGACCACAACAAACCCUUUGUAAUAGCAGUAAAUUGUCUGAUCAAACAAGCAAAAGUUACAACUUUCAACAAUGGAUCUCUUGGCUCUGGCAUCGAUGAAGAACGCAGC
This 264-nucleotide unclassified non-coding RNA is filed under the name uncultured fungus. RNAcentral's name for it is "partial contains small subunit ribosomal RNA, internal transcribed spacer 1, and 5.8S ribosomal RNA". The stretch from base 1 to 73 matches the Rfam family "Eukaryotic small subunit ribosomal RNA", at positions 1759 to 1831 of the family's 1831-position model. Lineage: Eukaryota; Fungi. The record is from RNAcentral.